This is a long non-coding RNA of Clupea harengus (Atlantic herring), 660 nucleotides long. RefSeq lists it as uncharacterized. NCBI's taxonomy places the organism in Eukaryota, Metazoa, Chordata, Actinopteri, Clupeiformes, Clupeidae. The record is from RefSeq and is a predicted model, not a curated record. The transcript is spliced from 2 exons.
CUUGAGUGUCUGAGGAACAAAAUAAAAAAAGAAAGGUCACCUUUAGGCAACUUGACGUCCAGGAAAUUAAGAGAAAGUUUGGUGCUGGAGGAAACAGAAUUGUGGACCAUGUGCCUCUGGAGGAACCACCUGGACAUCAGAGAGAAAAUAAGUGCAGAUUGGAAAACGCAGUCCAGAUGCUUUCUGGGAAUUAUCCAACACAAGAGGUUUGCAAUAUUUUUGUGAAUGAGAUACGGAAUUAUAUUCUCUAUUGUUUAAACAAGGUAUGUGUUGGUUUUUAACAGUGCAAAUUGACAUUUUUUUUCCCUUACACACUUCUCAUUUACAUAGGAACCAUCCAACUCAUUUCCGGUCAUCAGCCUCCACGAUGCAGACUCCCCUCCUUGCCAGGAGAGCAUCCAUUAUGAUGGAUGGCAUCACCAUUAUAAGCGGCGAGAUGGAUGUGGCACACGCCAUUCAAUGUCUGCUGGAGAUGUACUUCGUCAUUGGUGUGGAGUACCCCCGGCAGAUCAAGCAUACCCUUAGCUUUUCAGAGCAUUAUCUUUUCAAAAUACAAAGUUAAAAAAAAGUGUCCAUCCCUGUUCUGAAAUUAUAUAACCAGAUUAGUUCAUCACUGUUACUGUUGAGUUUUUAAAUAAAAAAAUACAGUCCAUUUUUGAA